Molecule: ribosomal RNA, 495 nt
Filed under: uncultured bacterium
Lineage: Bacteria
Description: partial 16S ribosomal RNA
Rfam family: Bacterial small subunit ribosomal RNA
Source: RNAcentral
GACGAACGCUGGCGGCGUGCCUAAUACAUGCAAGUAGAACGCUGAAGGAGGAGCUUGCUUCUCCGGAUGAGUUGCGAACGGGUGAGUAACGCGUAGGUAACCUGCCUGGUAGCGGGGGAUAACUAUUGGAAACGAUAGCUAAUACCGCAUAACAGUAGAUAUUGCAUGAUAUCUGCUUGAAAGGUGCAAUUGCAUCACUACCAGAUGGACCUGCGUUGUAUUAGCUAGUUGGUGAGGUAACGGCUCACCAAGGCGACGAUACAUAGCCGACCUGAGAGGGGGAUCGGCCACACUUGGACUGAGACACGGCCCAGACUCCUACGGGAGGCAGCAGUAGGGAAUCUUCGGCAAUGGACGGAAGUCUGACCGAGCAACGCCGCGUGAGUGAAGAAGGUUUUCGGAUCGUAAAGCUCUGUUGUAAGAGAAGAACGAGUGUGAGAGUGGAAAGUUCACACUGUGACGGUAUCUUACCAGAAAGGGACGGCUAACUACGUG